This 77-nucleotide transfer RNA is filed under the name Chloroflexota bacterium. Its description in RNAcentral is "Chloroflexi bacterium tRNA-Cys". It matches the Rfam family "tRNA". From Rfam's summary of the family: Transfer RNA (tRNA) molecules are approximately 80 nucleotides in length. Their secondary structure includes four short double-helical elements and three loops (D, anti-codon, and T loops). The record is from RNAcentral. Lineage: Bacteria; Bacillati; Chloroflexota. RNAcentral also lists the same sequence under 1 other name.
GGCGGCGUAGCCAAGUGGUCUAAGGCGGAGGUCUGCAAAACCUCUAUUCGGCGGUUCGAAUCCGCCCGUCGCCUCCA